AUCUCGUUCCCAGAGUAUGCCUGCUCGCGGGUUAGGUGCCACUACCUAACCCGCGAACAGUCAUACUCUGGGAACGAGAUUGAAGA
Molecule: microRNA precursor, 86 nt
Filed under: Paramuricea clavata
Lineage: Eukaryota; Metazoa; Cnidaria; Anthozoa; Malacalcyonacea; Plexauridae
Source: RNAcentral